GAACCACGUUAAUUUCUAAUUACCUGUACCCGAAACCGACACAGGUAGGAAGGUAGAGAAUACUAAGGGGCGCGAGAUAACUCUUUCUAAGGAACUCGGCAAAAUUACCCCGUAACUUUGGGAGAAGGGGUGCCACCGCAAGGUGGUCGCAGUGAAGAGGCCCAGGCGACUGUUUACCAAAAACACAGGUCUUCGCCAAGUCGCAAGACGCAGUAUGGGGGCUGACGCCUGCCCAGUGCCGGAAGGUUAAGGAAGUUGGUUAGUUUCGACGAAGCUAGCGACCGAAGCCCCGGUGAACGGCGGCCGUAACUAUAACGGUCCUAAGGUAGCGAAAUUCCUUGUCGGGUAAGUUCCGACCCGCACGAAAGGCGUAACGAUCUGGGCACUGUCUCGGAGAGAGGCCCGGCGAAAUAGGAUUGUCUGUGAAGAUACGGACUACCUGCACCUGGACAGAAAGACCCUAUGAAGCUUUACUGUAGCUUGGAAUUGGGUUCGGGCUUCCCUUGCGCAGCAUAGGUGGGAGGCGUUGAAGUUUUCCUCGUGGGGAAAAUGGAGCCAACGGUGAGAUACCACUCUAGGGAGGCUAGAAUUCUAACUUUAACCCGUUAGCCUGGGAAAGGACAGUUUCAGGUGGGCAGUUUGACUGGGGCGGUCGCCUCCUAAAAGGUAACGAAGGCGCGCAAAGGUUCCCUCAGGCUGGUUGGAAAUCAGCCGUAGAGUGCAAAGGCAGAAGGGAGCUUGACUGCGAGACUUACAAGUCAAGCAGGGUGGAAACACGGCCUUAGUGAUCCGACGGCACCGAGUGGAAGGGCCGUCGCUCAACGGAUAAAAGUUACUCUAGGAUAACAGGCUGAUCUCCCCCAAGAGUUCACAUCGACGGGGAGGUUUGGCACCUCGAUGUCGGCUCAUCGCAACCUGGGGCUGUAGUAGGUCCCAAGGGUUGGGCUGUUCGCCCAUUAAAGCGGUACGUGAGCUGGGUUCAGAACGUCAUGAGACAGUUCGGUCCAUAUCCGGUGUAGGCGCAAGAGCAUUGAGAGGAGCCUUCCUUAGUACGAGAGGACCGGGAAGGACGCACCGCUGGUGUACCUGUUAUCGUGCCAACGGUAAACGCAGGGUAGCCAAGUGCGGAGUGGAUAACCGCUGAAAGCAUCUAAGUGGGAAGCCCACCUCAAGAUGAGUGCUCUCACAGGGAUAACCUGGUAAGGUCACGGGAAGACCACCCGUUAAUAGGCACUAGGUGGAAGUCCAGUAAUGGAUGGAGCCAAGGUGUACUAACAGACCGAGGGCUUG
This 1290-nucleotide ribosomal RNA is filed under the name metagenome. RNAcentral describes it as "bacterial LSU rRNA". It matches the Rfam family "Bacterial large subunit ribosomal RNA", at positions 1619 to 2925 of the family's 2925-position model. The record is from RNAcentral.